RNAcentral lists this long non-coding RNA (1264 nucleotides) under Gopherus agassizii (Agassiz's desert tortoise). RNAcentral's name for it is "lncRNA (ENSGAGG00000012246.1)". The record is from RNAcentral. Lineage: Eukaryota; Metazoa; Chordata; Testudines; Testudinidae.
AGCCUGUCCAAUCCCCAGCCACGGUGCUGCAGCAGACCCAACGCUAGCAACCAAAUGCCCUCGCGCCAUCCCCAGCCCCCUAAUGUUCUCUCUUUCCGUGGCAGCGCAACCACCGAGCUGUGCCCGGGCUCUCCGGCUGGCACCGAGCAAUCCCACAUCUACAGCCAGCCGAUGAACAUGGGCAAAGUACCGCAGGAUGACCCGGACGAGGUCCAGUACUCGACCAUCCAGCUGCAGCCUCCCACCCAGAGAGCAGAGCCUGCCGCCGACCUUACCUGCGAAUACGCUGCUAUUAAGCGCUAGCAUCCAGCUGCGGCUCACCUGGCACCUCCCCCCAAAUUCAGGGCAGCCCCACGGUCUGGGCAACACACUUGGCCAGGCUGGAUGAUCUCCCCGACCCGACUCUGGGAAUAUAGGCUCCAGAUUCAGAGAUUUGCUGGAUCUGGAUUCUUAGAGGAGGCCCCGUAAAUGGGACAUUCAAGGGGGCGGCGCAGGGAUCAGAGGGUGGAGGGAGGCGCUAAGGCCCAGCUCCUGGAAGGGAUUUUGGUGCCUAACUCUCCUGGGCUUCUGCCCCACGGAAGGGCUGUUUCUUCACUUCCCAUUGACUCAAUGGACAUGCCAGGCUUCAGCGCGACGCAGACACAGUUCGGCUCUGCUGGACUCAUACUAUAAAGCUUUAGAACUAAAACACAAAGCGUCGACUGUCCUGUUGUAGCUGCGUGGCCCCGGACUGUGAGAGAGACAAGGUGGGAUAUGGUGAAAUCGACAUUUACUGCCAUUGAGCAAUGAAAAUAAUUUAAAUCUUCCAAGCCUACAUGUAUUUAUGCCUGGCUAAGCGUCAGUGUGAUACCAGCCUUCUAGCCAAUAACGAUAACUGCCCUUAUCCUAAGCUAAUUCACCAAUUUCUUUGUGGCGGAUUCUAGGCUCAGUUGCCAAACCUCUUACUGAACAGUCGUUCACUUAGUAUGUUCGCUUAGUAAGUCCACAGACCUGCAGGAUUUGGUUUUUAGUGGUAAAUGUCAAUUUCACCAACUCUCACCGAUCGCCAAAACAUAUUUCCAUUGAUAAUAAUUGACAUCGGCAGAUGGGCCAAAUAAGAAAACUGAGGCUUGAGAACCUAGUAUUUGAUUUAAGGAUAUUGAGUUGGCUAUUUUGUUCAGGGAUGUUGACAACUGGGUGUUUUAAGAGUUGUAAAGUGUUCACUCUUUCAGCCUUGACACAUGCAGUCAUGAAAUAAAUAUUGGCUGACACCUCUCCCCCUCCA